GACGAACGCUGGCGGCGUGCUUAACACAUGCAAGUCGAACGGAAAGGCCAUGCUUUUGUGGGGUUCUCGAGUGGCGAACGGGUGAGUAACACGUGAGUAACCUGCCCUUGUCUUUGGGAUAACUUCAGGAAACUGGGGCUAAUACAGGAUAGGAGAUACUGCUGCAUGGUGGUGGUUGGAAAGAUUCGGCGGUUGUGGCUGGACUCGAGGCUUAUCAGCUUGUUGGUGGGGUAGUGGCUUACCCAGGCUUUGACGGGUAGCCCACAUGGGAGGGUGACCAGGCACAAGGGUACUGCGGUACGGACCAGACGGCUACCGGAGGCAGUGGUGGGAAAUAUGGCACAAUGGGGCGGAGUCAGAUGCAGAAACGUCGCGAGCGUGAUGACGUGCUUCUGGUUGUGAACCGCUGUCGCCUGAGACGAAGCGUGAGUGACGGUAAUGAGUAAAGAAGCACCGGCUAACUACGUG
Molecule: ribosomal RNA, 468 nt
Filed under: uncultured bacterium
Lineage: Bacteria
Description: partial 16S ribosomal RNA
Rfam family: Bacterial small subunit ribosomal RNA
Source: RNAcentral